This 1530-nucleotide long non-coding RNA is filed under the name Cottoperca gobio. RNAcentral's name for it is "lncRNA (ENSCGOG00000005149.1)". Lineage: Eukaryota; Metazoa; Chordata; Actinopteri; Perciformes; Bovichtidae. The record is from RNAcentral.
AAAAAAUGAAUACAGCAAUGCUCUUGCCUGCUCAAAGUCUUCACACAUUGUUAUCUGAGGCGGAUCUGUAACAGGACACAUUUCAGGCUGUUCAGUUUAUGCUUUUGGUGGAAAGUAGAAAAGUUUUUCUGAAAGCUGCUGACUGAACACUGAGGAGACAUGGAAGCUGUGGUUGGACUUCUGGUGAUGAUACUUGGAGUCUCUCAUGGUGUGGCAACCCACUGUGAUGGCAGACAGGACGGAGUUCAGUGUUUCGGUCCUUUGGGAGGAACUGUGGUCGUCCAGCUGAUGGACAGUGACUCAGAAAUAUCUAGAUACCAAUUGUUUUACAAUAAUAAAACAACAUUAAUCAGAGUGGGAAAUAAUGUGAUUAUAACUAAUAAUAUACAAGACGGAUCCUCAUUUAUUCCCAGUGAUAAAACAUUGACGCUCAAUAACCUGAGCAGGAAUGAUGGUGGUGAAUAUAGACUUGAAACCUUUGAUAAAGGUGGAAAGACUUUAGGAAAGCGGACUCUACAGUUGACCAUUCAAGCUCCUGUGUCCUCUGUCCUGCUGGACUCUGAGUGUCUGUCCCAGGGAGAGAAGAGGGUGUCCUGCUCCUCUGAGGGAGGGGAAAGUCCUCAGUACAGCUGGACUCUGGAUGGGCACAAACUGACAGACGCUGAGCUCCUCUCUGCAAACACUGAGACUAACAGCAUCACUCUGAAACAACACGUCUCAGGACUACUGCUCUGCUCAGUCAGCAAUGACGUCAGCAGUGUCACGACAGAAGAGAAGAUAUCUAACUGUGGAUUCAUAUACGUUAACUGCACCUUAAAUGUGACACACAUAUCACAGUGGGUGUUUGCAGCCAAUAAUACCCUGUGCAUUGAGCCAACAACAGCUCCUACCCCGACCACAGAAGCCUCCACUGCCGGUUUGGAAACCCACUGUGAUGGCAGACAGGACGGAGCUCAGUGUUUCGGUCCUUUGGGAGGAACUGUGGUCGUCCAGCUGAUGGACAGUGACUCAGAAAUAUCUAGAUACCAAUUGUUUUACAAUAAUAAAACAACAUUAAUCAGAGUGGCAAAUAAUGUGAUUAUAACUAAUAAAAUACAAGACAGAUCCUCAUUUACUCCCAGUGAUAAAACAUUGACGCUCAAUAGCCUGAGCAGGAAUGAUGGUGGUGAAUAUAGACUGGAAACCUUUGAUAACGAUGGAAAGACUUCAGGAGAGCGGACUCUACAGUUGACCAUUCAAGCUCCUGUGUCCUCUGUCCUGCUGGACUCUGAGUGUCUGUCCCAGGGAGAGAAGAGGGUGUCCUGCUCCUCUGAGGGAGGGGAAAGUCCUCAGUACAGCUGGACUCUGGAUGGGCACAAACUGACAGACGCUGAGCUCCUCUCUGCAAACACUGAGACUAACAGCAUCACUCUGAAACAACACGUCUCAGGACUACUGCUCUGCUCAGUCAGCAAUGACGUCAGCAGUGUCACGACAGAAGAGAAGAUAUCUAACUGUGGUGAGGAAGAACAUCAGUAUAAAACAGUUUGA